AUUGAACGCUGGCGGCAUGCUUUACACAUGCCAGUCGAACGGUAACAGGCCGCAAGGUGCUGACGAGUGGCGCACGGGUGCGUAAUGCAUCGGAACGUGCCCAGUCGUGGGGGAUAACUACUCGAAAGAGUAGCUAAUACCGCAUACGAUCUAUGGAUGAAAGCGGGGGACCGUAAGGCCUCGCGCGAUUGGAGCGGCCGAUGUCAGAUUAGGUAGUUGGUGGGGUAAAGGCUCACCAAGCCAACGAUCUGUAGCUGGUCUGAGAGGACGACCAGCCACACUGGGACUGAGACACGGCCCAGACUCCUACGGGAGGCAGCAGUGGGGAAUUUUGGACAAUGGGCGCAAGCCUGAUCCAGCAAUGCCGCGUGCAGGAAGAAGGCCUUCGGGUUGUAAACUGCUUUUGUACGGAACGAAACGGCUCUGGUUAAUACCCGGGGCUAAUGACGGUACCGUAAGAAUAAGCACCGGCUAACUACGUG
RNAcentral lists this ribosomal RNA (482 nucleotides) under uncultured bacterium. RNAcentral describes it as "partial 16S ribosomal RNA". It matches the Rfam family "Bacterial small subunit ribosomal RNA", at positions 30 to 507 of the family's 1533-position model. The record is from RNAcentral.